This 253-nucleotide ribosomal RNA is filed under the name uncultured bacterium. RNAcentral describes it as "partial 16S ribosomal RNA". It matches the Rfam family "Bacterial small subunit ribosomal RNA", at positions 524 to 776 of the family's 1533-position model. The record is from RNAcentral.
UACAGAGGGUGCGAACGUUGUUCGGAAUCACUGGGCAUAAAGCGCACGUAGGCGGCACCGCAAGUGUGGGGUGAAAUCCCACGGCUUACCCGUGGAACUGCCUGGCAGACUGCGGUGCUAGAGGUUGGUAGGGGAGAGCGGAACUCUUGGUGGAGCGGUGAAAUGCGUAGAUAUCAAGAGGAACACCGGUGGCGAAGGCGGCUCUCUGGGCCGAUACUGACGCUGAGGAGCGAAAGCGUGGGGAGCGAACAGG